GCGUGGGUGAAGAAGGCUCGCGGGUUGUAAAGCCCUUUCAGUAGUGAGGAAAAGCAUACGGUUAAUACCCGUGUGUCUUGACGUUAACUACAGAAGAAGCACCGGCUAACUCUGUGCCAGCAGCCGCGGUAAUACAGAGGGUGCGAGCGUUAAUCGGAAUUACUGGGCGUAAAGCGCGCGUAGGCGGUUAGAUCAGUCGGAUGUGAAAGCCCCGGGCUUAACCUGGGAAUUGCAUUCGAUACUGUCUAGCUAGAGUAUGGUAGAGGGAAGUGGAAUUCCAGGUGUAGCGGUGAAAUGCGU
RNAcentral lists this ribosomal RNA (300 nucleotides) under uncultured bacterium. Its description in RNAcentral is "bacterial SSU rRNA". It matches the Rfam family "Bacterial small subunit ribosomal RNA", at positions 399 to 691 of the family's 1533-position model. The record is from RNAcentral.